This 532-nucleotide ribosomal RNA is filed under the name Staphylococcus aureus. RNAcentral describes it as "partial 23S ribosomal RNA". It matches the Rfam family "Bacterial large subunit ribosomal RNA", at positions 954 to 1489 of the family's 2925-position model. The record is from RNAcentral. Lineage: Bacteria; Bacillati; Bacillota; Bacilli; Caryophanales; Staphylococcaceae.
CUCCGAAUGCCAAUUAAUUUAACUUGGGAGUCAGAACAUGGGUGAUAAGGUCCGUGUUCGAAAGGGAAACAGCCCAGACCACCAGCUAAGGUCCCAAAAUAUAUGUUAAGUGGAAAAGGAUGUGGCGUUGCCCAGACAACUAGGAUGUUGGCUUAGAAGCAGCCAUCAUUUAAAGAGUGCGUAAUAGCUCACUAGUCGAGUGACACUGCGCCGAAAAUGUACCGGGGCUAAACAUAUUACCGAAGCUGUGGAUUGUCCUUUGGACAAUGGUAGGAGAGCGUUCUAAGGGCGUUGAAGCAUGAUCGUAAGGACAUGUGGAGCGCUUAGAAGUGAGAAUGCCGGUGUGAGUAGCGAAAGACGGGUGAGAAUCCCGUCCACCGAUUGACUAAGGUUUCCAGAGGAAGGCUCGUCCGCUCUGGGUUAGUCGGGUCCUAAGCUGAGGCCGACAGGCGUAGGCGAUGGAUAACAGGUUGAUAUUCCUGUACCACCUAUAAUCGUUUUAAUCGAUGGGGGGACGCAGUAGGAUAGGCGA